UGCAAGUCGAGCGGCAGCGACAACAUUGAUUCUUCGGAGGAUUUGUUGGGCGGCGAGCGGCGGACGGGUGAGUAAUGGCUGGGAACCUGCCCUGACGUGGGGGAUAACAGUUGGAAACGACUGCUAAUACCGCAUGAUGUCUUUGGACCAAAGAGGAGGACCUUCGGGCUUCUCGCGUCGGGAUGGGCCCAGUUGGGAUUAGCUAGUUGGUGAGGUAAUGGCUCACCAAGGCGACGAUCCCUAGCUGGUUUGAGAGGAUGAUCAGCCACACUGGAACUGAGACACGGUCCAGACUCCUACGGGAGGCAGCAGUGGGGAAUAUUGCACAAUGGGCGCAAGCCUGAUGCAGCCAUGCCGCGUGUGUGAAGAAGGCCUUCGGGUUGUAAAGCACUUUCAGCAGUGAGGAAGGCGUAGUGGUUAAUACCCGCUGCGCUUGACGUUAGCUGCAGAAGAAGCACCGGCUAACUCCGUGCCAGCAGCCGCGGUAAUACGGAGGGUGCGAGCGUUAAUCGGAAUUACUGGGCGUAAAGCGCAUGCAGGCGGUUUGUUAAGCAAGAUGUGAAAGCCCCGGGCUCAACCUGGGAACCGCAUUUUGAACUGGCAGGCUAGAGUCUUGUAGAGGGGGGUAGAAUUUCAGGUGUAGC
RNAcentral lists this ribosomal RNA (644 nucleotides) under uncultured Vibrio sp. RNAcentral's name for it is "bacterial SSU rRNA". It matches the Rfam family "Bacterial small subunit ribosomal RNA", at positions 56 to 679 of the family's 1533-position model. Lineage: Bacteria; Pseudomonadati; Pseudomonadota; Gammaproteobacteria; Vibrionales; Vibrionaceae. The record is from RNAcentral.